AUGGAGCCGACCUUGAAAUACCACCCUUUAAUGUUUGAUGUUCUAACGUUGACCCGUAAUCCGGGUUGCGGACAGUGUCUGGUGGGUAGUUUGACUGGGGCGGUCUCCUCCUAAAGAGUAACGGAGGAGCACGAAGGUUGGCUAAUCCUGGUCGGACAUCAGGAGGUUAGUGCAAUGGCAUAAGCCAGCUUGACUGCGAGCGUGACGGCGCGAGCAGGUGCGAAAGCAGGUCAUAGUGAUCCGGUGGUUCUGAAUGGAAGGGCCAUCGCUCAACGGAUAAAAGGUACUCCGGGGAUAACAGGCUGAUACCGCCCAAGAGUUCAUAUCGACGGCGGUGUUUGGCACCUCGAUGUCGGCUCAUCACAUCCUGGGGCUGAAGUAGGUCCCAAGGGUAUGGCUGUUCGCCAUUUAAAGUGGUACGCGAGCUGGGUUUAGAACGUCGUGAGACAGUUCGGUCCCUAUCUGCCGUGGGCGCUGGAGAACUGAGGGGGGCUGCUCCUAGUACGAGAGGACCGGAGUGGACGCAUCACUGGUGUUCGGGUUGUCAUGCCAAUGGCACUGCCCGGUAGCUAAAUGCGGAAGAGAUAAGUGCUGAAAGCAUCU
RNAcentral lists this ribosomal RNA (603 nucleotides) under Escherichia coli. RNAcentral describes it as "partial 23S ribosomal RNA". It matches the Rfam family "Bacterial large subunit ribosomal RNA", at positions 2180 to 2782 of the family's 2925-position model. Lineage: Bacteria; Pseudomonadati; Pseudomonadota; Gammaproteobacteria; Enterobacterales; Enterobacteriaceae. The record is from RNAcentral.